This 388-nucleotide long non-coding RNA is filed under the name Mytilus galloprovincialis (Mediterranean mussel). Lineage: Eukaryota; Metazoa; Mollusca; Bivalvia; Mytilida; Mytilidae. The record is from RNAcentral.
GCAGGUAUAUUUUUUAUUACAUAUUUGAUUUACUCAGGUAAAAAUUAGUCUAUAUGGAUUUUCUUUUAUCAAAAUGUAAAUAGAGGGUCAAAACUGUCUUGUAUGCCCUUAAGAUAGCACUAUAAAGGUAUAUAGGGGAAAAAACAAGUUCCUGUGCCUGUGAAAUAAGUUGUUGUAGAAUAGUUAAAAUAAAUAUAGCUAGUAGUGAAAUAACCAACAACAUUAAAUGAAUAUUUUCCAAAGUAUGAACAAGUUUUGCUAAGUUAAUCAAUUAACAAAAAAAUGGUACUCCUCUUACAUUAUUCAUAAAUAAUAAUUUAAUUUUGGAUGUAACGCGUCUUCUGAUUGGCUGAGUUUAUUUUCGUAUGAGCCCAUAGACAUAAUUUAG